Molecule: ribosomal RNA, 442 nt
Filed under: uncultured bacterium
Lineage: Bacteria
Description: partial 16S ribosomal RNA
Rfam family: Bacterial small subunit ribosomal RNA
Source: RNAcentral
CCUACGGGAGGCAGCAGUAGGGAAUCUUUCACAAUGGGCGAAAGCCUGAUGGAGCAACGCCGCGUGCAGGAUGAAUGCCUUCGGGUUGUAAACUGCUUUUAUAAGCGAGAAAUAUGAUGGUAACUUAUGAAUAAGGCUCGUCUAACUACGUGCCAGCAGCCGCGGUCAUACGUAGGAUCCGAGCAUUAUCCGGAGUGACUGGGUGUAAAGAGUUGCGUAGGUGGCAUAAUAAGUAGCUAGUGAAAUCUGGUGGCUCAACCAUUCAGACUAUUAGCUAAACUGUUAAGCUCGAGACCGUUAGGGGUAACUGGAAUUUCUAGUGUAGGAGUGAAAUCCGUAGAUAUUAGAAGGAACACCAAUAGCGUAGGCAGGUUGCUGGGACGGUUCUGACACUAAGGCACGAAAGCGUAGGGAGCAAACGGGAUUAGAUACCCUUGUAGUC